GCCCUAGUAACGGCGAGUGAAGCGGCAACAGCUCAAAUUUGAAAUCUGGCUCUUUUAGAGUCCGAGUUGUAAUUUGCAGAGGGCGCUUUGGCUUUGGCAGCGGUCCAAGUUCCUUGGAACAGGACGUCACAGAGGGUGAGAAUCCCGUACGUGGUCGCUAGCUAUUGCCGUGUAAAGCCCCUUCGACGAGUCGAGUUGUUUGGGAAUGCAGCUCUAAAUGGGAGGUAAAUUUCUUCUAAAGCUAAAUAUUGGCCAGAGACCGAUAGCGCACAAGUAGAGUGAUCGAAAGAUGAAAAGCACUUUGGAAAGAGAGUCAAACAGCACGUGAAAUUGUUGAAAGGGAAGCGCUUGCAGCCAGACUUGCUUGCAGUUGCUCAUCCGGGCUUUUGCCCGGUGCACUCUUCUGCAGGCAGGCCAGCAUCAGUUUGGGCGGUGGGAUAAAGGUCUCUGACACGUUCCUUCCUUCGGGUUGGCCAUAUAGGGGAGACGUCAUACCACCAGCCUGGACUGAGGUCCGCGCAUCUGCUAGGAUGCUGGCGUAAUGGCUGUAAGCGGCCCGUCUUGAAACACGGACCAAGGAGUCUAACAUCUAUGCGAGUGUUUGGGUGUCAAGCCCGAGCGCGUAAUGAAAGUGAACGGAGGUGGGAACCCGCAAGGGUGCACCAUCGACCGAUCCUGAAGUUUACGGAAGGAUUUGAGUAAGAGCAUGGCUGUUGGGACCCGAAAGAUGGUGAACUAUGCUUGAAUAGGGUGAAGCCAGAGGAAACUCUGGUGGAGGCUCGCAGCGGUUCUGACGUGCAAAUCGAUCGUCAAAUUUGGGCAUAGGGGCGAAAGACUAAUCGAACUAUCUAGUAGCUGGUUCUG
Molecule: ribosomal RNA, 864 nt
Filed under: Curvularia sp.
Lineage: Eukaryota; Fungi; Ascomycota; Dothideomycetes; Pleosporales; Pleosporaceae
Description: partial large subunit ribosomal RNA
Rfam family: Eukaryotic large subunit ribosomal RNA
Source: RNAcentral